CCUACGGGAGGCAGCAGUGGGGAAUCUUGCACAAUGGGCGAAACCCUGAUGCAGCGACGCCGCGUGAGUGAAGAAGUAUUUCGGUUCGUAAAGCUCUAUUAUCAGGGAAGAAAAUGACGGUACCUGACUAAGAAGCCCCGGCUAACUACGUGCCAGCAGCCGCGGUAAUACGUAGGGGGCAAGCGUUCUCCGGAUUUACUGGGUGUAACGGGAGCGUAGACGGCAGCGCAAGUCUGAAGUGAAAUCCCAUGGCUCAACCGUGGAACUGCAUUGGAAACUGUGCAGCUAGAGUGCAGGAGAGGUAAGCGGAAUUCCUAGUGUAGCGGUGAAAUGCGUAGAUAUUAGGAGGAACACCAGUGGCGAAGGCGGCUUACUGGACUGUAACUGACGUUGAGGCUCGAAAGCGUGGGGAGCAAACAGGAUUAGAUACCCCAGUAGUC
RNAcentral lists this ribosomal RNA (440 nucleotides) under uncultured bacterium. RNAcentral's name for it is "partial 16S ribosomal RNA". It matches the Rfam family "Bacterial small subunit ribosomal RNA", at positions 338 to 795 of the family's 1533-position model. The record is from RNAcentral.